UACGGAGGAUGCAAGCGUUAUCCGGAAUUAUUGGGCGUAAAGCGUCCGCAGGCGGUUAUCCAAGUCUGCUGUUAAAGCGCGAGGCUUAACUUCGUACAGGCAGUGGAAACUGGGUGACUGGAGUAUGGUAGGGGUAGCGGGAAUUCCCAGUGUAGCGGUGAAAUGCGUAGAUAUUGGGAAGAACACCAGCGGCGAAGGCGGGCUACUGGGCCGAUACUGACGCUGAUGUGCGAAAGCGUGGGGAGCAAACAGG
This 253-nucleotide ribosomal RNA is filed under the name uncultured bacterium. RNAcentral describes it as "partial 16S ribosomal RNA". It matches the Rfam family "Bacterial small subunit ribosomal RNA", at positions 524 to 776 of the family's 1533-position model. The record is from RNAcentral.